AAUGAGGGAAACCUUGAUGCAGCCAUGCCGCGUGUGUGAAGAAGGCCCGAGGGUUGUAAAGCACUUUCAAUUGUGAGGAAAGGUUAGUCGCUAAUAUCGGCUAGCUGUGACGUUAACUUUAGAAGAAGCACCGGCUAACUCUGUGCCAGCAGCCGCGGUAAUACAGAGGGUGCAAGCGUUAUUCGGAAUUACUGGGCGUAAAGCGCGCGUAGGCGGACUGUUAAGUCGGUUGUGAAAGCCCUGGGCUCAACCUAGGAACUGCAUCCGAUACUGGCAAUCUAGAGUUUAGGAGAGGGAAGUGGAAUUCCUGGUGUAGCAGUGAAAUGCGUAGAUAUCAGGAGGAACAUCAGUGGCGAAGGCGACUUCCUGGCCUAAAACUGACGCUGAGGUGCGAAAGCGUGGGUAGCGAACGGGAUU
Molecule: ribosomal RNA, 417 nt
Filed under: uncultured Gammaproteobacteria bacterium
Lineage: Bacteria; Pseudomonadati; Pseudomonadota; Gammaproteobacteria
Description: bacterial SSU rRNA
Rfam family: Bacterial small subunit ribosomal RNA
Source: RNAcentral